Long non-coding RNA from Nerophis ophidion (straightnose pipefish), 484 nucleotides. RefSeq lists it as uncharacterized. Lineage: Eukaryota; Metazoa; Chordata; Actinopteri; Syngnathiformes; Syngnathidae. The transcript has 2 exons. The record is from RefSeq and is a predicted model, not a curated record.
UGAAUCGCACAGUGCGGGAACGAAGCUGAAGGAGCCUGUUGGAGUAUGAACUCCGCUGGAGUAUGAACUCCGCUGUCCCUCAAUUGUCUGGUGGAGUGGGGGAGCAGGAUUGCAGUGUUUCUGACAGGUCAGGCAUCUAUUUGUGGUGGUGUGGUCGGCCGCCGGGGGAGGUGGCAGCGGCGGCGAUGACCAAGAAGAACACCGGAGUUGGAAUAUAAUUACAUAUUUAUAUGCCGGCCUGAAUCGGGCGGUGGAGGCAUGUGGAGAGGGGCGUGUCCUACGCGCCCCGUGCGGGCGGAGCAUGUGCGGCAGCCGGUCGUGAAGCAGCAAUCAGCGUUGGAAACCAUGAGCGGGGCUGGCAAACUGGGAGUGAGAGCCAGACGGAAGAGCCCGCUGUUCAGCGUGAAGAGACAGAAGCUGAGAAGCUGAAAAGGAACUCUGAACGAUAAACUGUUGUAAAAAUAAUAAAAGAGUGUAACCCACU